AGAAGUCACUAUAGCAUUAAAACACAGCAGGGUGGGAGAAAUAAAAGGAAAACAAUAAAAACAAUGGCCCUUAAAAACCCAAGAGAAUGCCUCCUUUGGAAGUGUGUACUUUCUUAUUCAGAAAAGGUAUCACCUUAAUAAGAAUUAUAGGCAAAGAGGUUUCACUGUUCCAUGCUGUGUGGACGAAAAGAGGGAGAAAAGACUGACUUAUCAAAGGCACUGGCAGUUAUGAAAGACCUGAAGCAUACUCCAGUGAUCAGUUAGUGGAGAAUUAACUUCUGGAACAGUCUCAAAGAUUUUUCUUGAAAGGGAAGUGAGAUGGGUAUUUCAGCUAUCUUCUGGAGAUCAUCAAGCACAUGCCUUGUAAAAGAAGUCUUUUCAUUAUGUCAGCAAAGAAAUCUGCAAGAAAGAAAGUUACCUUUGACAGAGAUUUUAUGCCCAAGCUGCAAUCAUUGGAUUGCUGAGGAAGUUCUGGAAACUGAGCAGAGAGACCUUCCAUGUCAGCAGGCACCUACCUGGAGCCAGAGUUAGAGUUAGACCCAACACCAUAGGCACACCUGAGUUGCCUGGAAAUCAGAUGAAGCUCAAAAGGCAAACUGGUCGUCUUCAGGAGCUAAUUUGACGGGAAAAGCUCUUCAAGAAACAGCUAGCCACUACAGAAGAAAACAUCUCCCAGAAAUAAAAAAUCCACCUCUUUUAUAUACUCAAAGAUUGUCUUAGUUUCCACAUUUAUUCUAAAUAAUAUUUUUUAGUAUAAAAUUACAUUGGAACAGUCUUGUUAGCUAUAUAUAUUCUCUUUAAAUCUUGGC
This 809-nucleotide long non-coding RNA is filed under the name Gallus gallus (chicken). RNAcentral's name for it is "lncRNA (ENSGALG00010018392.1)". Lineage: Eukaryota; Metazoa; Chordata; Aves; Galliformes; Phasianidae. The record is from RNAcentral.